AUCAUCUCAGACUGCAUUUACUUGUAUGUGUGUGUUUGCGCAUGUGUGUGCAACCAUUGUCUUCUCUUUACAUCUGUCAAAUACACAUCACUGGGCAGCUCCCCUAGCUUGUUGUUGUCUUUCUAACUACAUAACCACUGACUAACACAGCAGGGACCCACAUCCAGACAGCUUAUAAAAGAGGACAGUAAGCUCAUCUCGAAGAAUCAGUUGCAGUUAAGUCAGACCAAUUGUCGAGAAAAUAAAACAUGGGUCAACAACCUGUAAGAACACAGUACGUAGAGGACCAUGAAUCCCGACGACGGGCAGAGGCAGCAGAGGCAGAAAGGAGUCGAGUUCAGCAUGAAUACCUUCAGCUCCAGGCAGAGAAAGUGAGGAUGGAAACACAACAACGGAUGGCCAAAGAACAAGUAGAGGAGCUGGAGAGACAGAGAAAAAUACAUCAUGAAUCAGAAAGAAUGAAAGAAGAAGAUGAAAGGACCCGCAUACAUAAAGAACUGAAAGAAUCAAGAGGAGAUGAAAAAGAUGAAACUGUGGAAAAAGGAGAUGAUAAAGCUGUAGAAAAUGUGUCUAAGGUUGAGCAGUAGGGGAUCAUGUUAACCGUUAGAUGACACUGAACUUGUCAAUUAAUUAAUUAAUUGAGUUCACUUACAAAUCAUAAAAAUGUAAGAGUAGUCUUGUUUUACCAAAAGGCAUGUGUACGUACACGCGUCUCUUUUUAUUUUCGAUUUAAAUUAUUUUACAAGUAAUUGCAAUUGGCCUGAAAGUAUGAUAAAUUGGCCCGAAAUUAGCCUGAAAGUAUGAUAAAAUGGCCUGAAAUUAGCCUGAAAGUAUGAUAAAAUGUUAAUUAGUACAGUUUCAUUGGGUAUAAUUAUCUACAUCUUUAAUAUGGUAAAUUCCUACAUAACAGACAAGGGAAAAUAUUUAAAUGGAUUUGUCUUUUUAAAAAGAUGUAACACAUUUAACAUGUCAGUAAUUUCAUUAUAUAACUCAUACAUUUUUUUAUUUCUGCAUUUCUAAUUAUUUCUUCACAUGCAUAAUUAUUUGGCUGUCACACAUCGAAAUACAAAUAUUAAAUAUGCUGUUUAUGAUAUACCAACAACUCAAAUAAAACUAUUCAGGAAAUUA
Oncorhynchus nerka (sockeye salmon) is the source of this 1128-nucleotide long non-coding RNA. RefSeq lists it as uncharacterized. Lineage: Eukaryota; Metazoa; Chordata; Actinopteri; Salmoniformes; Salmonidae. The transcript is spliced from 2 exons. The record is from RefSeq and is a predicted model, not a curated record.